This 1016-nucleotide ribosomal RNA is filed under the name uncultured bacterium. RNAcentral's name for it is "bacterial SSU rRNA". It matches the Rfam family "Bacterial small subunit ribosomal RNA", at positions 364 to 1400 of the family's 1533-position model. The record is from RNAcentral.
UUGCACAAUGGGCGCAAGCCUGAUGCAAGCGUACGCCGCGUGAAGGAUGAAGUAUUUCGGUAUGUAUAUCUUCUAUCAGCAGGGACGAUAAUGACGGUACCUGUUGAGGAAGCUCCGGCUAACUACGUGCCAGCAGCCGCGGUAAUACGUAGGGAGCGAGCGUUGUCCGGAAUUACUGGGUGUAAAGGGAGCGUAGGCGGGAUUGCAAGUCAGGUGUGAAAUGCAGGGGCUCAACCCCUGAACUGCACUUGAAACUGUAGUUCUUGAGUGAAGUAGAGGUAAGCGGAAUUCCUAGUGUAGCGGUGAAAUGCGUAGAUAUUAGGAGGAACAUCAGUGGCGAAGGCGGCUUACUGGGCUUUAACUGACGCUGAGGCUCGAAAGCGUGGGGAGCAAACAGGAUUAGAUACCCUGGUAGUCCACGCCAUAAACGAUGAUUACUAGGUGUGGGGGGAUUGACCCCUUCCGUGCCGCAGCUAACGCAAUAAGUAAUCCACCUGGGGAGUACGACCGCAAGGUUGAAACUCAAAGGAAUUGACGGGGGCCCGCACAAGCAGUGGAGUAUGUGGAUUAAUUCGAAGCAACGCGAAGAACCUUACCAGGUCUUGACAUCGUACGCAUAGCAUAGAGAUAUGUGAAAUCCCUUCGGGGACGUAUAGACAGGUGGUGCAUGGUUGUCGUCAGCUCGUGUCGUGAGAUGUUGGGUUAAGUCCCGCAACGAGCGCAACCCUUACUGUUAGUUGCUACGCAAGAGCACUCUAGCAGGACUGCCGUUGACAAAACGGAGGAAGGUGGGGAUGACGUCAAAUCAUCAUGCCCCUUAUGACCUGGGCCUCACACGUACUACAAUGGCUGCCAACAGAGGGAAGCGAAGCAGUGAUGCAGAGCAAAUCCCCAAAAGCAGUCUUAGUUCGGAUGGCAGGCUGAAACUCCCCUGCAUGAAGUCGGAAUUGCUAGUAAUCGCAGAUCAGCAUGCUGCGGUGAAUACGAGGCCGGGCCUUGCACACACCGCCCGUCAA